This 73-nucleotide transfer RNA is filed under the name Candidatus Liberibacter americanus. RNAcentral's name for it is "tRNA-Ala". It matches the Rfam family "tRNA". From Rfam's summary of the family: Transfer RNA (tRNA) molecules are approximately 80 nucleotides in length. Their secondary structure includes four short double-helical elements and three loops (D, anti-codon, and T loops). The record is from RNAcentral. Lineage: Bacteria; Pseudomonadati; Pseudomonadota; Alphaproteobacteria; Hyphomicrobiales; Rhizobiaceae.
GGGGCCGUAGCUCAGCUGGUAAAGCGCCUGCUUUGCAAGCAGGAUGUCAGCGGUUCGAUUCCGCUCGGCUCCA